UGCGGUCGGCUCCUCUCAAAUGAAUCAGCUUGCCAGUGUUUGGUGGCGUCACAGGUGUGAUAACUAUCUACGCUUGUGGUUUCCCACCAGGUAACCUUCAGUGAUGAAGGUUCGCUGGAGCUCAUAAACGUCUCUCCUCAGCGAGGACAGCUUCUUGAAUGUUUGAUCUCAAAUCAGGUAGGGCUACCCGCUGAACUUAA
RNAcentral lists this unclassified non-coding RNA (200 nucleotides) under soil metagenome. Its description in RNAcentral is "partial contains internal transcribed spacer 2 and large subunit ribosomal RNA". The record is from RNAcentral.